Magnolia sinica is the source of this 2244-nucleotide RNA transcript. It is a transcript of the gene named signal recognition particle subunit SRP54 2-like, with no coding region annotated. The record is from RefSeq and is a predicted model, not a curated record. The transcript is spliced from 9 exons. Lineage: Eukaryota; Viridiplantae; Streptophyta; Magnoliopsida; Magnoliales; Magnoliaceae.
AUGUGGGGAAUACAUAGUUCCAAUGUAAAUGUGGGGCAUAUAUAGUCAUCAAUCUAGGCUAUCAACAUCAUGGGGCUCAUUGUGGAUGGAGCAUAGCCUGAAAAACACAUUGAUAAAAUGAUCCCAUCCAACUGAUUGGUUGCUGUCAAAUAGAUGGCUAAAUGAAAUGCUCAGUGGUCAGAAUUCAAUGAGUGAAAACAGAUGGUUAAGAUCAUACAAUCAGUGUGAAUUUCGGACUUCACCUCACCAAGAAUAGUGCCUACAAUUUGCACAGGUUAGAUUGCCCUACCUGUCGCACAUGCUUGGUGUUCGAGAUACCACAAAAAAAUGAUGGUCAACUAUUGCCUUACUCUACCCUUGCUUUUUGAUUGCCAUAGCAUGUGUACUUUCGCCGCCCUCUUGGUUGACUAUGACAAACUAGCUGCUUUUAAGAACACAAUUCACAAUUUUCUCUUUCAUUCAUUUUCUGUUACAGUGAAGAUGUAUCUUGUAUGGAUGUAUGAACAAGCAUCGUGCAUUCUUGUCAGCUAUAAUAUAAUUGUUGCAUCAACAUGGUUACUAGUUUGUUUUCAGGAAGUAGCCAAUGAGCUCUGCAAACUGUUAUUUCCUGGCAUGCCUUCAUUCACCCUGAAGAAAGGGAGAACUAGUGUCGUGAUGUUUGUUGGUCUACAGGGUUCCGGGAAAACGACAACAUGCACGAAAUACGCAUGUUAUCAUAAGAAAAAAGGUUGGAAACCAGCUCUAGUCUGCGCAGAUACCGUCAGAACUGGUGCAUUUGAUCAGUUGAAAGAAAAUGCCUCGAAAGCUACGAUUCCUUUUUAUGGAAGCUACAUGGAGACAGACCCUGUAAAAAUUGCAACGGAGGGUGUGGAACAGUUUACAGAGGAAAAUUUUGAUCUUAUAAUUGUAGACACAAGUGGACACAAAGAGGAAGCUCCCCUGUUUGAAGAAAUGCACCAAAUGUUUGAAGCAGUGAAACCCGAUCUUGUUGUAUAUGUUAUGAAUAGCAGUAUUGGCCAAGCUGCAUUUGACCAUGUUCAAGCAUUUAAACAAACCAUUUCAGUUGGUGCUGUGAUUGUCACCAAUGUGGAUAGUCAUGCAAAAGGAGUUGGUGCACUUAGUGCUCUUUCUAGGACAAAGUGUCCAGUGAUAUUCAUUGGUACUGGAGAACACAUGGAUGAGUUUGAGGUUUUUGAUGUGAAGCCCUUGGUCAGCUGUCUUUUAGGCACGGAUGAUUGGUCUGGAUAUAUGAAUGAGAUUCAUGAUUUUGUGCCUAUGGAUCGACAGCCGAAACUUCUACAAAAACUUUCUCAAGGGAAUUUUACUUCAGGAGUUAUGUCUGAGCAAUUCCAAAGCAUGCCCAAUAGAGGUUCUACUGACCAGGUUGUCUCUAUGAUUCAUUGCACUAAAGAAUUGAAUCCUAGGGUUAUUAAGAGACAUCUAGAAGAGGCGAAGAGCCACGUGAGUAGACUACUAUGGAAUCAACGACUAAUGAAGUGGUUUGCUGUGAAGUGAUUUGAGAUCAAGGCAGGGUUGAGAUGGAUGCGAGUAUUGCCUUAGCUGGGGCUUAAUUGCUGGGACAAGGGCUAGGAUGUUGCUAACACGUGGACCGGAAGAAGCCCAAAGAUAAGUCGACAAUAUUCAGCAUAGUUCGACCGAUCAAUAGAUCUGGUCGACAAGUCGAAAUUCUAGUUUGAUUGCUGGACAAUUUUUACCAGUUUUGACAAGUCGAAGGCCUGUUUGACAGGUCAACCAAUUGGGUCGACAGGUCGAAAUUCACAGAAUUUUUAAUUUUAGUCUCUAGAUGUUUUUUAGCCAGUUUGACCGGUCGACAAUGGAUCGAUAGACGCCGAAAAUUUGCAGGUUUUUCGGAAUUUAUUUCCUUAUUUGAUUUGGUCUUUUUUAUUAUGUUUUAGGGUUUGUUUAGUAUUAUUUAAGGAUGUUAAACUCGUUUUUUAAGAAGCAAUCAAUUUUUUAAGCAAUAAAAUUCUCAGAAAUUAUAUUAUUUCUCUCGUGCAUUUGAGAAUUCUCUCUUGUGGAUUCUAGAGAGCCUUCUAGAUUCAAGGUGUUUAUCAAUCGAAGAAGAUGGUGAUUGACCUCAUCACGUCCUCCCCUGUGUCACUUUCAUUUUCUUUUGAAGUUGAUAUGUCUGAAUUGUAUGAAAAUAUAACUUGAUGGGAGAAUUUUAUUGUCUAAAUAUUGUUGGAUUUUGGGUGAAUUUGGAAGGUUCAUCUUGGUUGUUGA